RNAcentral lists this ribosomal RNA (308 nucleotides) under uncultured eukaryote. RNAcentral's name for it is "partial 18S ribosomal RNA". It matches the Rfam family "Eukaryotic small subunit ribosomal RNA", at positions 1470 to 1795 of the family's 1831-position model. The record is from RNAcentral.
CCCUUAGAUGUUCUGGGCGGCCCGCGCACUACAAUGGCGUGUGCAGCGAGUGCCGAAGUAGAGUUUUCCGAGGUAUUCUUGCAAUGCUCGUUUUGAUGGGGAUAGACCCUUGCAACUGUUGGUUUUGAACGAGGAAUUCCUUGUAAGCAUGGUUUAUCAUCCGACGCUGAAUGCGUCCCUGCCCUUUGUACACACCGCCCGUCGCUCCUACCGAUGAGUCGUCCGGUGAAGUUCGUAGACCUCGUGAUCGCGGAUCACUGGGGGAAGCAAAAUGAACCUCGCGGUUUAGAGGAAGGAGAAGUCGUAAC